Oreochromis aureus is the source of this 867-nucleotide long non-coding RNA. The record is from Ensembl. NCBI's taxonomy places the organism in Eukaryota, Metazoa, Chordata, Actinopteri, Cichliformes, Cichlidae.
AGUUGUGAAAAUAUAUAGUGAGUUAAAUGUUGGAACAGGAGGAUAUAAUAAUUUAUAUUCAGGCUUAUAUUCAAGCUAUAAUUCUAACUGAACUUUUUUAGAUCCAUCCAUCCAUCUCUUCCGUUUUUCCUUAUCAGGGUUGUUGGGGGGCCUGGAGCCAGCCGUCAUAGGAUCCUGACAGUGCUGAAUCAAAGAGGCAACUUUGAACUCCUAUCAGAUAUCUGCUGGGGGAGAGAAGGAGGAGGAGGAGAGAGUGAAGGUGGAGGAAAAGAGUAUUUUUCACAUGGACUUUCUGUGAAAGAAGCUCCGCAUUAAAGAAGUUGAUGACACCAAAUAGCUCCAAGCAUCAGCCCAACCUGUGUCUGCACUGCAUUCAGCUCCACAAUCCUUGAAAACUCCCCGAAGGUUAAAAAACUUCACGAAGUGCCGCAGCUUCCCAGGCAAGUUCUAUUCAACAGCUCCCCCUUGAGAAUAGCAGCUCUCAGAAGCAUCCAAGGUUGGAGGGAAAGAAAAAAACAGAGAGGUAGAGAGGCAGAGUAGAGAGAAAGAGUGAGAUGAAGACGAAAGAGGAGAUGAAUGCUAGCAGAGCUCAAUGCUGUUUUCCAAGGCUGCUCAGAUGGGAUCAAUUCAGAAGCGAGUGAGAACUGUGAAGAGAGGUAAACAUAUUAGAAGGUGUGUGUGUGUGUGUGUGAGACUGAGUUUAGCUGUGAGUGUAGGAGUUUGAAUUCAGUCGGGGAGGUCUUUGUCUUCAAGUGAAUCCAGUUAAAUGGAGGGGUGAUGAGAAAUAUGAAUCCUCGGUCCAAACCAAUUGAUUGCCUGCAAGGUUAGCCGCUGUAACAGAGAAAUAUUAACCAAGACAGCCAGAGC